This 752-nucleotide ribosomal RNA is filed under the name uncultured Actinomyces sp. RNAcentral's name for it is "bacterial SSU rRNA". It matches the Rfam family "Bacterial small subunit ribosomal RNA", at positions 28 to 776 of the family's 1533-position model. The record is from RNAcentral. Lineage: Bacteria; Bacillati; Actinomycetota; Actinomycetes; Actinomycetales; Actinomycetaceae.
GACGAACGCUGGCGGCGUGCUUAACACAUGCAAGUCGAACGCUGAAGCUCAGCUUUUGUUGGGUGGAUGAGUGGCGAACGGGUGAGUAACACGUGAGUAACCUGCCCCCUUCUUUGGGAUAACGCCCGGAAACGGGUGCUAAUACUGGAUAUUCACUGGCUUUCGCAUGGGGGUUGGUGGAAAGGUUUUUCUGGUGGGGGAUGGGCUCGCGGCCUAUCAGCUUGUUGGUGGGGUGAUGGCCUACCAAGGCUUUGACGGGUAGCCGGCCUGAGAGGGUGACCGGUCACAUUGGGACUGAGAUACGGCCCAGACUCCUACGGGAGGCAGCAGUGGGGAAUAUUGCACAAUGGGCGAAAGCCUGAUGCAGCGACGCCGCGUGAGGGAUGGAGGCCUUCGGGUUGUAAACCUCUUUCGCUCAUGGUCAAGCCGCAGCUUUGGGUUGUGGUGAGGGUAGUGGGUAAAGAAGCGCCGGCUAACUACGUGCCAGCAGCCGCGGUAAUACGUAGGGCGCGAGCGUUGUCCGGAAUUAUUGGGCGUAAAGGGCUUGUAGGCGGUUGGUCGCGUCUGCCGUGAAAUCCUCUGGCUUAACUGGGGGCGUGCGGUGGGUACGGGCUGACUUGAGUGCGGUAGGGGAGACUGGAACUCCUGGUGUAGCGGUGGAAUGCGCAGAUAUCAGGAAGAACACCGGUGGCGAAGGCGGGUCUCUGGGCCGUUACUGACGCUGAGGAGCGAAAGCGUGGGGAGCGAACAGG